This 429-nucleotide ribosomal RNA is filed under the name Chloroflexota bacterium. RNAcentral's name for it is "Chloroflexi bacterium partial 16S ribosomal RNA". It matches the Rfam family "Bacterial small subunit ribosomal RNA", at positions 355 to 776 of the family's 1533-position model. The record is from RNAcentral. Lineage: Bacteria; Bacillati; Chloroflexota.
UGGGGAAUAUUGCACAAUGGGCGCAAGCCUGAUGCAGCCAUGCCGCGUGUGUGAAGAAGGCCUUCGGGUUGUAAAGCACUUUCAGCGGGGAGGAAGGCGGUGAGGUUAAUAACCUCAUCGACUGACGUUACCCGCAGAAGAAGCACCGGCUAACUCCGUGCCAGCAGCCGCGGUAAUACGGAGGGUGCAUGCGUUAAUCGGAAUUACUGGGCGUAAAGCGCACGCAGGCGGUCUGUCAAGUCGGAUGUGAAAUCCCCGGGCUCAACCUGGGAACUGCAUUCGAAACUGGCAGGCUAGAGUCUUGUAGAGGGGGGUAGAAUUCCAGGUGUAGCGGUGAAAUGCGUAGAGAUCUGGAGGAAUACCGGUGGCGAAGGCGGCCCCCUGGACAAAGACUGACGCUCAGGUGCGAAAGCGUGGGGAGCAAACGGG